RNAcentral lists this unclassified non-coding RNA (334 nucleotides) under soil metagenome. RNAcentral's name for it is "partial contains 5.8S ribosomal RNA, internal transcribed spacer 2, and large subunit ribosomal RNA". The stretch from base 1 to 120 matches the Rfam family "5.8S ribosomal RNA", at positions 35 to 154 of the family's 154-position model. The record is from RNAcentral.
GAUGAAGAACGUAGCGAAAUGCGAUAAGUAAUGUGAAUUGCAGAAUUCAGUGAAUCAUCGAAUCUUUGAACGCACAUUGCGCCCCCCAGUAUUCUGGCGGGCAUGCCUGUUCGAGCGUCAUUUCAACCAUCAAGCCCUGCUUGUGUUGGGUUCCUGCGGCUGCCCGCAGGCCCUGAAAACCAGUGGCGGGCUCGCUAGUCACACCGAGCGCAGUAGCACAUCUCGCUCAGGGCGUGCGGCGGGCUCCAGCCGUUAAAGCACCCACCUUUCGCAAGGUUGACCUCGGAUCAGGUAGGAAUACCCGCUGAACUUAAGCAUAUCAAUAAGCGGAGGA